Molecule: ribosomal RNA, 660 nt
Filed under: Nepenthes gymnamphora
Lineage: Eukaryota; Viridiplantae; Streptophyta; Magnoliopsida; Caryophyllales; Nepenthaceae
Description: eukaryotic LSU rRNA
Rfam family: 5.8S ribosomal RNA (bases 309-464)
Source: RNAcentral
AAGUCGUAACAAGGUUUCCGUAGGUGAACCUGCGGAAGGAUCAUUUGUCGAAAAUUGCCAAGCAGAGCGACCCGCGACAUGUUGAAAUAAAUCGUCGGGGGCACGGCGUCUAACGUGGCACGGCGCCCUCGACUGCCGGCCGAGCCCGCACCUAACGGCCUGCUCCAGGAGCGGCAACGGGGGUGCGGGGCAAGGCUUGGCACAAGAACGAACCCCGGCGGGGAUCGCGCCAAGGAACGGUAACAUAGCGUGCGCUGCCUUGCCGCCGGAUGCCCGGCGAGCGAGGUGGCGACCUGUCGUAUCUGAACGACUCUCGGCAACGGAUAUCUCGGCUCUCGCGUCGAUGAAGAACGUAGCGAAAUGCGAUACUUGGUGUGAAUUGCAGAAUCCCGUGAACCAUCGAGUCUUUGAACGCAAGUUGCGCCCGAAGCCUCUAGGCUGAGGGCACGUCUGCCUGGGCGUCACGCAUAGCGUCGCCCCCGACCAAGCCACGGCGUCUCUGCAUGCUAGGUUGGGGCGGAGAGUGGCCUCCCGUGCGCCGUUGUGCGGCUGGCCUAAAAUUGGAGCUCGGCGACUGCGCCACGGCGUCCGGUGGUCGGCAAGGCGAAGGCAAAGGUUGCAUCGCGUCGUGCUCGGCACGUCGCCCGUGAAGCUCGCACG